AUUGAACGCUGGCGGCAUGCCUUACACAUGCAAGUCGAACGGCAGCGCGGGAGCAAUCCUGGCGGCGAGUGGCGAACGGGUGAGUAAUACAUCGGAACGUGCCCAAUCGUGGGGGAUAACGCAGCGAAAGCUGUGCUAAUACCGCAUACGAUCUACGGAUGAAAGCAGGGGAUCGCAAGACCUUGCGCGAAUGGAGCGGCCGAUGGCAGAUUAGGUAGUUGGUGAGGUAAAGGCUCACCAAGCCUUCGAUCUGUAGCUGGUCUGAGAGGACGACCAGCCACACGGGGACUGAGACACGGCCCAAACCCCUACGGGGGGAAGGAGGGGGGAAUUUUGGAAAAGGGGCGAAAGCCUGAUCCACCCAUGCCGGGGGCAGGAUGAAGGCUUUUGGGUUGUAAACUUUUUUUGUACGGAAAGAAACGGUUUUUUCUAAAAAAGAAGGCUAAGGGCGGGACCUUAAGAAUAAGCCCCGGCUAACUACGU
This 483-nucleotide ribosomal RNA is filed under the name uncultured bacterium. RNAcentral describes it as "partial 16S ribosomal RNA". It matches the Rfam family "Bacterial small subunit ribosomal RNA", at positions 29 to 506 of the family's 1533-position model. The record is from RNAcentral.